AUAUAAUCUUAUACAGGUGGUGCAGUAUUCUAGUCGGCACUGUUGAUCACCAGGGCGGGCCUAAAAAUCCGUCGAAGGGCAUAUCGAUGAAGUCCCUUGUGAAUGCUUUUGACGCCCAGUUGGGGGUGUUCACCGGGGGUUAAGGAAGAUGGGGCAACCUGCAAUGGCAUGUGGGCUUCUGACCCUGCUUCCGUGGAGACCUGUCUAAUGAUAGGGAAAACCUGUGAAUGUGUUUCAUUCUGUAGUGGAAUGGAGUACUGAAACAGUGUAGCCUGCCUUGAGUGGCUUAGGUGGAUGGGCUGACAGUUUUAUAAUUUCCAGGGCCCGGAGAGUAUAAAAUAUUGCGUUCGAAACCUAAUCUGCAAAAGAGGCUAAGGAUCAAUGGGUGUUGUCGAGGAAAACUCCUAGACUGCUCGCAAGAGGUAUAGUGGGGAUUAUAGUGCACACUUAGUGGUAAUUCAGUCCUGCAUCCGGUGACGCUGCAGACUACAUGUAAAGGGAAACCGCUUUGACGGCGACGUCUUAGUCAUGUUUUGGGAAAUCCUACUGAACCUAUGUCGCAAAGUUUACUCAUUAUGCUACCACCCCAUGAAAGAAUGUG
Eubacterium limosum KIST612 is the source of this 601-nucleotide non-coding RNA. Lineage: Bacteria; Bacillati; Bacillota; Clostridia; Eubacteriales; Eubacteriaceae. The record is from Rfam.